Transfer RNA from Stagonospora sp., 85 nucleotides. It matches the Rfam family "tRNA". Rfam says of the family: Transfer RNA (tRNA) molecules are approximately 80 nucleotides in length. NCBI's taxonomy places the organism in Eukaryota, Fungi, Ascomycota, Dothideomycetes, Pleosporales, Massarinaceae. The record is from Rfam.
GCAUCGAUAGUUUAGGGGUAGAAUUGAAGCUUCCCAAGCCACUGCUGGUCUGCUUCAGGCACGGGUUCGAGUCCCGUUCGAUGCA